GAGAGAAGCAGCAAAACUGCAAGCUGCACAGAAAAAUAUAAGAGAUGGACAGCGCAGGGAGAGACUGGCGGGGAAGCACAGCAAUACAAAAGAAAAGCUCCAGAGAGCAAGGCAGCAAGAAAAUUAGAGGCUUCACUCCAUUUCUCUCGGUUAAAUCUUUCCAAACUUAUAUUUUAUUUCUGUUUUAAUAAUGUGUAACUAAUUUUAUUUUGGCUAGAGGUUAUUUCAAAACCAUGAAUAUAUUUGUAAUAUGAAUUGAUUACCUUCGGUUGUGAUUUCAUAAGUUGUGAAUUCAAUUUACUUAUCCGUUUGUAUAAAAACUGAUUUGUGUAUGUUGGUUGAGAGUGCACGCUUAAUUUACAUGCAUGAAUUUGAUGCUAGAAUAUAAGUGAAUUUCACCUAAUCGUUAUGAACUUAUAUUCACAAGUAGUAAAGGUUGCUAGUCACAAUCACGUUAAGUAAAUUCUUGGCAUAAGUUUCAUGCAAAUCAUAGUAACGAGUGCCUCGUCAAUGCUUAUGUUUUUCAUAGAACUUAAUGAUUCUUGCUUGUAUCUCUAUUAUGCAAUUCAUGUAGAGAACUUGUAGGGAAUGUUUUGGGUUGUCGUAUGCAAUCAUCCAACCCAAUAACUUGUGGAAAAACUGAGGGUUAAUUAGUGCAAUUCACGGUUAAUUUGGGGCGUUGAGAUUUACAAUUUAUUGAAAGAACAACUGAAAAUCAAUUUAGGUUGCAUAGUGUCAUGUGUGGAGAAAAACCCUCUAGCUAGUCCGUCAUUUAUCAUUUCACCUUAAUUUCAUGUUUUUGUCAAUUCUGUAAUUUAAUUAAGUUUAAUUUACUUUUCAUCAAAACCAAACACCCAUCCAUUAUUAAAUUAUAUUUUUUAGUUAGUUUUCUUUAUUGUUAGUCUUUUAAUUUAAUUUCCGUCCAUUUCAGUUCCUAGUUUUAAUUUAAUUGUUUUCAUUAUUUUGAGUCAUUUUAAGUGUGUUUCGAGUUAUUAGAGUUUUUAGCCUAAUUUUGUGUCCUUGAGUCUUAUUUAAUAUUUUUAAAUUAAUUUAGAAUAGAUUAGCAAUCCCUCCUAAUCCCCGGCCUAGAACGAUACCCUACUUACAUCUAUACUACAAUUGUCAAAAAGAGGGUUUAAUUUGUGUGUUAACUUAUUUUUCACAUCAAAUUUUGGCGCCGUUGCCGGGGAUUAGCAACUUUGCUAAUCCUUUUAUUUUUGUUUUUGUUUAUGUUUAUAUUGGUGUUUGUGUAUUUUACUUUUGAUAUUUGAUUUAUUUUUCUUUCUUUGAUUUUAGGUUCAAAUGGAGCUGAGGGAAAUUUAAAGGAAAGAUGCGUCCGGCUAAAGACGUUAAAUCAAGCGCUUCUUGGGAGGCAACCCAAGCAUUCAACGAAGGGAGACUUUGGAAUCACUAACCCAAUCAGCUUUGCAUUCUUCCACCCUUAUCUUUAUUGCUUUCAUUUUGUUUUGUUUAGUUAGUUGUGUUAUUUGGUUGAUUUCUGUGAGUUUGUGUUAUUUAGUUUAAGUGUGGGGGAAGGUUAACCAAAGUCUCUUUACAUUAAUUUACAUUUAUAAAAAAUAAAAAAAAAUAAUUAAAAAAAAAGAUAAAAUUUAAAAUUAAUGAUAAAAAAAAAAAAAAAAACAAUUAAAAAAUCAAAAAAAAAAAAAAAACAUAAAAUAAAAAAAAAAAAAAAAUUAAAAUUAAAAUUUUACAAUGAUGUAAACUAAUAGUAUUCAUUGGUCGGGUGGUGCUUCAGUAGUAGGCGGGGCUUUAGCAGUCGGCGGGGCCACAGAAGUAGGAGGCGGCAGAGGUUGAUCAGUUGGAGCUUCACUACGCGGUGCCGCUCCAGAAGACGAAGGCAGAUGUUGUUGGAACAAUCCCACAAACCUCCGAUGAUCAAGUAAAAUUUGACCAUCGGUGUCCUGCAUCUGGUCAAUCUUCCUCUUCAUACUGGUGGCAUAGCUGUGUGCGAGCUUGUGCAAUUCCUUAUUCUCAUGCUUGAGCCCUUUAAUCUCUUGCUUGAGACUCUGUAUUUCAGCCACCAAGGAUUCAACGUGACGGGUUCGGGCAUAUAGGCGUUGGGCCAUGUUGGAUACGGAACUCGCACACUGCACACUGAGAGCCAGAGACUCCUUAACCGCCAAUUCAUCAGACCGUCUAGCGAGCAGUCUGUUAUCUCUGGGAGUGACAAGGUUUCGGGCCACCACCGCAGCUGUCAUAUCAUUUUUUAUCACCGAAUCCCCCACGGUAAGGGGACCGGUAGAGGAUAUGAAGGAUGGCCGCCAUAUGUUGUCUGGUGAAGGCGGAGCUGCCUCUUCACCAAUGUUCAAGUCAAAACGACGAUCAGAAGGGCCAGACAUUUUUCAGAGGUGGUAAAGAAAGAAGAGAGUCGGAAUGAUCAAGAUUAAACAAGUGCAAGAAGGGAGUGUUUACAGGAGGGUACUCAAGUGUGUUGUGGAACAAAAUUAACGCCUCUAUAAAAAGAAGAAAUCAAAGAGGCGCUCCUCAGAAAUUGAAGAGGCGUCCUUUCGCAAAUCGAAGAGUCGGGGCACCUUUCUCAAGAGCCGGAUUCUUUUUUCAAAAGAGGAGUUUCCGUUCUCAAAAGUCGGAUUCUUUUCUCAAAAGAGGCGUUCAUUUCUUAAAAGUUGGGCUUGCUCAGAAACCACGAGCCGAACCCCGGAUUUCGCAAGAUCAAUUCGUCCAGACGUGUUGUCACCCGUCACACGCAAACUCAGCUCUGCGAAAAUCACGGGCAGUCUGUCGAAGUGCCGAUUCCAACCAUCUGUCUCUCUCAGCCUAGUCAGCACUUGUCACCCAUCCACUGGCAGCUUUGCGGAAAUUACGGGCAGCUUUGUCAGAAAGCGCGUAAUUUGUAUUCUUCACCCAUCCACCGGCUGCCGACACUAAGUGAGAGAACAGUUCCGGUUGUGAAGACAAGUCCUAUAAGUUUCUACCUUCGCCUUCCACAGCAAAAGCACACUCUCUCAGCACACCCUCUCAACACCUCUCUUCAUCUCCGAAAAUGCAUUCCCAAAGAAUCCUCUCGAGUCACUCUGUGUUCCUCAUUCCUUGGGAUACUCCUGCGAAACAACCCAUUCAAAGCAAAAGUAUUUCAUAUCAUAAAGGUUGAAAGCAAGAGUAUCUCAUAUCAUGCUUUCUCCAUGUCCUUCUCCUUGUCUUUGUUUUCCGACAAGGAGAAAGAGAGCAAUCAGCCAGCAUUUGGUAUCAAUCUUCCGAUCUGGAGCCAACUGCCUGGAACCCCUUCCUGAUUGCUUACCUAGCCUUGCUCUCGAGUACUCAUCUUCAUCAUUUUAUGCUUUCUCUUCGUCUACCACAUCUGCCUGGGGGACAGUAAGGGAAGUGAAAAUGAUACCUCGAAGCAUGUGGAGACAAUUCAGCUAGGGACAAGGAGAAAGAAAGCAAGAGGUGGGCACUUGGAAAGAUUGAAGAAAGAAAUAAGGACCAACACCUUUCCCUCGUGCCUGCCCGUUGUGCAGAAGAAACAAGCAGAGAAGAAUGCAGCUUGCACAAUCAUCCCAGCGGAAGGAGUCCGAACUGAGGAACUAGAGAAGCUGCCACAUCUGCUUGGAGAACAAAUAAGGAACUGCAACAUAACCAAAGAGCAAAGCUUCGCCGUACAAUAUCAUAAAAUCAUCACUUGCAAGUGAAAAGCUAAGUGUGUCACCCUGUUCAAGAGGAAAGCUGUGGAAAGUCAACAAGCACGACCAAUGAUUACUUAUUAGUUUUAUUCAUUAUCUUUUAUCGUAAUUUUCAAUUUUUCGUUUGCAAUUUUUUUUAAUUAAUUUUCUUGCGUUACUUAACUGAAUUAUUUCUUUUCUUUGCAGGAACUUUUGGUUAUUUCCACCCUUGAAGUUGAUUGCAGAAUUUUAGCUUGAGGGUCAUCGCUUGAUUUUACUGCAAAUUAGGGAAGUUUUCAGUCCCAUUGUUUUAUUUUGUUUCUUAUUAUUUAUUUAUUUAUUUUAUUUUUAUUUGCGUUAUAGUGUUUUCUGACAUUGGGGACAAUGUCAAGUUUAAGUGUGGGGGUAGAAAUCUCUCUAGAAUUUCAUUUGUUUCUGUGUUUGUUAGUUUUUUUGUUUUCUUAAAAAAAAAAAAAAAAAAAUCGGAAAAUUUAAAAAAUCCAAAAAUAUUGUCUUGUUUCCCUUAUUGUUUUGAAUUAGAUUUUUGUUAGUUUCCCGACCCAAUGAUAUAAUUGGAUCAAGAACUUAGUUAACAUGUAUUUUGUGAAAUUCCUAAUUCUCUUGUUAGUUUUGUACAUGUUUGACCAUCUUUGAAAAACCAAAUGCACAUAGCCUUGUUGAUGUGAAACUAAAGUAUGAAUUAAAGCUUCAUAUGUAAAUUUAGUGACCAUAUAUAAUUCCUAUGUGAGUUUUUGAGCCUAUUGAAAGUGUGUGCAUUUUUUAUACACUCAUAUUCUUUCAUGUGUGAUGAACUUAUGUGAGAUACAUCUCUAGAACUUGCGUAACGAUCUUUCGAAAUGUUUGUCAUUGAUUGCAUGAACUUGGAAAUGAUAGAGGCAUUAGGUUUACCACUAUGGCCCAAAUAACCAUGUUUCCCAAAGAAAAAUGAUAUCAUUAGAUUGCCAAUUUGAGCCAUGUAUGUUGAGCCUUUUAUUUCUUGUCACCAGAUAUGUCUACCCUUAUACCUGAAACAUUUUUCCUUACCCUUUCCAAGCAAGCUAGUGAGCAAUGUGAGAUUGUUUUAUGAGAAACAUUUGUGAAGUACUGUGAAGAUGUUUAGCAAAAGAUUAAGUGUGGGGGUAUUUCAUGUUUGUAUUAAAAAAAAAAAAAAAAAAAAAAAAAAAAAAAAAAAAGAAAAGAAAAAGAAAAAGAAAGAUUGUAUACGAAGAAAAAAAAUAAAAAAUAAAAAGUUUUUUUUUAAAAGUUUCAGUUUAAGGGUAUGGUUGGAGGUGCUAGAAGAAUCGCUGAAAAAAAUUGAGUUCUUAUAAAUCUAAACAAAAGAAUUGCUUGCAAUAUAGCUUGGAACUUGUGUUUUCCUAUUCUUUCAUUUCAAUAACCCUAUCCCUAAGCCUCAUUACAUCCAAUAAAAGUCCUCUUGAUUUAAGUUUUGCAAUUAUGACUGUGGAGAAGUGAUCUUUAUGCAAGCUUAUGGUAGAAAUUUCACAUUUGUUUCUUUGAGCGAAACACAUUAAAACUAAACACAUGUGUGAUUGAGUGCAUAUCCCGUGAGAAGGUCACUAGUUUGCAUAUGAUGAUUUUAAAAAUAAAAACUUGAAAUUGCAUUAGCAUGGCUAUCUCACACACUACACUUCAAGGAUGAUUUGAAGACUACUGCUAAUAUUUGAAUAAGGAAGAUGAACUUGGAUUAGUUCCUUGAUGCUAGCUAUGGUUCUUGAUGAUUUAUUUUCUUAAAUGAAAUUCUAUGAGGGUCAGAUAGGGAGAAACUAAUGUUUUUCUUGUUAAUUCUUGUUCUUGUUUUCUUUGUUUUGCUCGAGGACUAGCAAAAGUUAAGUGUGGGGGUAUUUGAUCGGAUGAUAUUUAUAUAUAUUUUUACUUCGAAUUACUCGUCUUUUCUUAGUUAGUUCCUUAUAUUUUUGAGCUAUUUACGUUAUUUUUGUGUUUACAGGAUUUGUUAUGUUUUGUAGAAAAAUAAAGAAAAGAAAAGAAAAAAAUAAAAAAAAUAAAAGAUAGAAAGGAAAUUGGGGGAGACGGGCUGCCUGUGGGCAGCUUUGAAAAGCUUUGAAGAAAAAAAAAAAAGAAAACAAAAAUAUAAAAAAGAAAGGAACAGCGGCAAAAGGAGUGAAAAACGUGGGAUUGGACCAGAAGACAGCUAGGGAAGACUGGUGGGCAGCGGGAUCCAAGGAAAUAAGAGAAUAAGGGAAUAAAAAAAGGGACGGACAGCAGUAGUGUGGAGAAAAGAAAAAUAAUAAAGAAUAGAGAGAAGUGGGAGGGCAGGCGAAUAGUAUGGCAGAGAUGCUGCCUUUGGCAGCGUAAAACGUAAAGAAGAAAAGGGGGACAGCGCACAAGAAGAAAGGAAAAAGCUGCCCUUGGGCAGCUGAAAGAGUCAGGAGAGGGAGAAAUAAUAUAGAAGAAGAGGGCGAGAGGCAUUAGCCUCGUGGAAGGGGAUUGGUGGACGGAAGAGGCGCUGCCUUUGGGCAGCUCGCAGAGAGCGCAGGAGGCGCAGAAAAACAGGGGAGGAUUGACGCGAAAAGGAACGCUGCCUUGGCAGCGUGGCAGAGGUCAGACGGGAGUGAGAGAAGCAGCAAAACUGCAAGCUGCACAGAAAAAUAUAAGAGAUGGACAGCGCAGGGAGAGACUGGCGGGGAAGCACAGCAAUACAAAAGAAAAGCUCCAGAGAGCAAGGCAGCAAGAAAAUUAGAGGCUUCACUCCAUUUCUCUCGGUUAAAUCUUUCCAAACUUAUAUUUUAUUUCUGUUUUAAUAAUGUGUAACUAAUUUUAUUUUGGCUAGAGGUUAUUUCAUAACCAUGAAUAUAUUUGUAAUAUGAAUUGAUUACCUUCGGUUGUGAUUUCAUAAGUUGUGAAUUCAAUUUACUUAUCCGUUUGUAUAAAAACUGAUUUGUGUAUGUUGGUUGAGAGUGCACGCUUAAUUUACAUGCAUGAAUUUGAUGCUAGAAUAUAAGUGAAUUUCAC
RNAcentral lists this long non-coding RNA (6629 nucleotides) under Malus domestica (apple). RNAcentral describes it as "long non-coding RNA (MDOM_LNC005452)". Lineage: Eukaryota; Viridiplantae; Streptophyta; Magnoliopsida; Rosales; Rosaceae. The record is from RNAcentral.